GACGAACGCUGGCGGCGUGCUUAACACAUGCAAGUCGAACGGAAAGGCCCUGCUUUUGUGGGGUGCUCGAGUGGCGAACGGGUGAGUAACACGUGAGUAACCUGCCCUUGACUUUGGGAUAACUUCAGGAAACUGGGGCUAAUACCGGAUAGGAGCUCCUGCUGCAUGGUGGGGGUUGGAAAGUUUCGGCGGUUGGGGAUGGACUCGCGGCUUAUCAGCUUGUUGGUGGGGUAGUGGCUUACCAAGGCUUUGACGGGUAGCCGGCCUGAGAGGGUGACCGGCCACAUUAGGACUGAGAGACGGCCCAGACUCCAACGGGAGGCAGCGGUGGGGAGUAUUGCACAGUGAGCGGAAGCCUGAUGCAGCAACGCCGCGUGCGGGAUGACGGCCUUCGGGUUGUAAACCGCUUUCGCCUGUGACGAAGCGUGAGUGACGGUAAUGGGUAAAGAAGCACCGGCUAACUACGUG
This 468-nucleotide ribosomal RNA is filed under the name uncultured bacterium. RNAcentral's name for it is "partial 16S ribosomal RNA". It matches the Rfam family "Bacterial small subunit ribosomal RNA", at positions 28 to 507 of the family's 1533-position model. The record is from RNAcentral.